Molecule: ribosomal RNA, 506 nt
Filed under: uncultured bacterium
Lineage: Bacteria
Description: partial 16S ribosomal RNA
Rfam family: Bacterial small subunit ribosomal RNA
Source: RNAcentral
AGUGAACGCUGGCGGUAGGCCUAACACAUGCAAGUCGAACGGCAGCACAGGAGAGCUUGCUCUCUGGGUGGCGAGUGGCGGACGGGUGAGGAAUACAUCGGAAUCUACUUUUUCGUGGGGGAUAACGUAGGGAAACUUACGCUAAUACCGCAUACGACCUACGGGUGAAAGCAGGGGACCUUCGGGCCUUGCGCGAUUGAAUGAGCCGAUGUCGGAUUAGCUAGUUGGCGGGGUAAAGGCCCACCAAGGCGACGAUCCGUAGCUGGUCUGAGAGGAUGAGCAGCCACACUGGAACUGAGACACGGUCCAGACUCCUACGGGAGGCAGCAGUGGGGAAUAUUGGACAAUGGGCGCAAGCCUGAUCCAGCCAUACCGCGUGGGUGAAGAAGGCCUUCGGGUUGUAAAGCCCUGUUGUUGGGAAAGAAAUCCAGCUGGCUAAUACCCGGUUGGGAUGACGGUACCCAAAGAAUAAGCACCGGCUAACUUCGUGCCAGCAGCCGCGGUAA